This 77-nucleotide transfer RNA is filed under the name Erysipelotrichaceae bacterium. Its description in RNAcentral is "tRNA-Arg". It matches the Rfam family "tRNA". Rfam says of the family: Transfer RNA (tRNA) molecules are approximately 80 nucleotides in length. Lineage: Bacteria; Bacillati; Bacillota; Erysipelotrichia; Erysipelotrichales; Erysipelotrichaceae. The record is from RNAcentral.
GUCCUUAUAGCUCAGUUGGAUAGAGCACUUCCCUCCUAAGGAAGGGGUCGCACGUUCAAAUCGUGUUAAGGACGCCA